CGGGUCUUCCCGGAGUCGGGUUGCUUG
This 27-nucleotide non-coding RNA is filed under the name Macaca fascicularis (crab-eating macaque). RNAcentral also lists the same sequence under 3 other names. Lineage: Eukaryota; Metazoa; Chordata; Mammalia; Primates; Cercopithecidae. The record is from RNAcentral.